Molecule: non-coding RNA, 142 nt
Filed under: Williamsia sterculiae
Lineage: Bacteria; Bacillati; Actinomycetota; Actinomycetes; Mycobacteriales; Nocardiaceae
Source: RNAcentral
UCAUGUUGACAACCGGCCGGGCGCCGAGCAUCAUUCGCCCAGGUGACAGCAGCGGUAAGCGGGUGGGAAUCCCGCGCGGUCGCGCCACUGUGAGCCGGAGCGAUCCGGCGAGCCAGACAUCGUCUGCCACCCGGGCCGUACA